Non-coding RNA from Olsenella sp. An285, 81 nucleotides. The record is from Rfam. NCBI's taxonomy places the organism in Bacteria, Bacillati, Actinomycetota, Coriobacteriia, Coriobacteriales, Atopobiaceae.
GCGACGACGCGCCGUCUACGCGUCCCGCGGCCAUCCGAGAGGCGCCGCCCGUACGGCACGGGGCGGCAGGACGAGAAAGGC